This is a long non-coding RNA of Wasmannia auropunctata (little fire ant), 1255 nucleotides long. RefSeq lists it as uncharacterized. NCBI's taxonomy places the organism in Eukaryota, Metazoa, Arthropoda, Insecta, Hymenoptera, Formicidae. The record is from RefSeq and is a predicted model, not a curated record. The transcript is spliced from 2 exons.
GUAAUGUCUAAUUUUUAUAAUUUUUUACUGCUGUUUCCUACAUUUUCUAUGCAAAUAUUUUUUAAUAAAAAAAGACGUGACUAAAAUAACAGAUUCGCAGUACCACGAAUUGGAUACGGCGUAAUGAAUACGAACUGGAUACACCAAACGUAAUCGAUCGCAGUGCGAUGUUAUACGCACAUACACGCAGAAAAUAUGUGAGCGUAAAAAAAAAGACCGAGAGAACCAUCUGUCUAAUCUAAGCCACCAUAGAGAUAUUAUUAAAAGUGGUCAAAGACAAAUUUUCGUGACUGUCAAGUGGAUCCGAGGAUAAUUGAAGAACGAUGACAUUAUAUCAACCAUUUUGGCUAUCGAGGAUAGAACAAUUGUUUUACGUGACUAAAUCGUUUUAUAAUCGGGUGUAAUUGAUAGCUCUUAUCACGAGAGAGAGGAAUCAAUCGAUUGAACCAUGACGCACAUUAAUCGAUAUUACGAAAAUUGAUAACACACGACGUGAACGUUCUGAUCGCCGCUGUAAACAGUCAAUUGCCAGACAAUAGAUCGGGUUUCACAAGAAGUCGAUAAUCGAGCAAAAUCGGACAGCGAAAUUAAGAAGCAGCGUUGUCCUAUCAACAGGAACUUGCCUACAGGAAACAUUUGUCGUCUGCAUAACUUUUCGAACUUAUCUUAUCUCACUUUCGUGGAAGUCCGCCAAAUAAAUAGAGAUCACUACUCUCAACAAAUAAUGACGUUCCAUAUAAAGUAGCACUAUAAUCACUAUAUAUUUUUAGAAGCAUAGGAAAAUGACGUAAUCGCUUUAAAAAGAUAUAAAUCUAAAUCUAUUUAAUUAAAAUUAUCUAAAAAGAAUGAAAAAACGCACACAGUAAAAUGUAUAAUUAAAAAAAAACUUUAUGUAAUUGACAUCGCGUUUUGUUUACCACAAAGUUUCUAACAAAAUUUAAUACAAUUUGCCGAGCUAACAAGUUGAUAUGUUUAAAAAUUUUAUCAAUUUCCUUUUCGUCUUAACAUACAGCACUUGCAAGCGAUUAGAUUUCAUGAGACUCGCGAAAAUGAUACAGAGAAAACGGAUAUGAUACAGAGACGCAAACUUGCUCAGAGAUUACUGCAUCUUACUUCAUAAGCUAAUCUUUAUAAUAUUCGUAGCACAUUCAUAAUACUUUACAUUUUAAUAAUUAACCAAGUACAUUACAUAUAUAAAACCGCAAUUUGUCUAAUUUAUAAAAUUAUGAAUAAAGUGUCGCAAAUUCAGCGGAAA